Non-coding RNA from Theobroma cacao (cacao), 708 nucleotides. The record is from RefSeq and is a predicted model, not a curated record. NCBI's taxonomy places the organism in Eukaryota, Viridiplantae, Streptophyta, Magnoliopsida, Malvales, Malvaceae.
GUUCUCCUUGCUCUCUAUGGUGAAUUGGAAGCACAUAUAAAAGAAUAUGCAAUGUUUUCUACAUUUUCUUAUUUAUAAAAAGAUAUUCUUUUCCCCCUACUUUGUUAAUGUAGGUCAUGUCCGGAUGAUGUCCCUCAAUUCCUUUUUUGUUUGUUGGGAUUAUGAGGUAAUAGUUGUUAUGUGUUGCCCCCCUAUAUUUUUUAGUCACAACUAAUCGUUACUUUCUACUUGCUAUUUUCAUUUUCGAUAUGUAGUGGAAACUUAUCUUACGUUCUCCGUUAUUCUUCAAUAGCUACUGUUGUGGUAAGUAUGCAAACUUGUCUAUUGUUUCCUCUUGCCUCUUCUUACUUUUUAUGAAGUAUUGGAUGAUUAAUUUAAUUAUUGUGGCAUUUAUUUAGUAUUUUGACAAAGAUUAUGAAAUGAGUUAGUUUUCUUCCCUAAUGAUUAUUUGAUCUAACUGAUUUUGGUUUUCUGUGGCUUACAAAUGGCAUUAAUUUGCCAUAACUAAGCAAUGAUUCCCUUUGAAGUGCUUAUGGAAAACUGAAAAUGCUGUGCUUUCAUUCUUGGUGGAUGAAGCUGCAUCAGAAACAAAGAAGAGAGAGCUUUAUGGAACACUUUCUUGUUUGUUAAAAACAAAAUUCACUCCGGUACAUUCUUAGUUUGUUACUGGUCUCCUAGUGCUGUUGAAUAAAAUGAUGCUUUUAUUUA